UGAUGUGAGGGCGAUCUGGCUGUGACAUCUGUCACCCCAUUGAUUGCUGGCUAGGCGGGUGUCCCCUUCCUCCCUCACCCUUCCAUGUGCAUUCCUCCGGAAGCUGCACACUCGGUCAAAGAGGGCGGUAUUCCCUGAAUAAAGAUGGUCUGGUCUUCAGUGGAGGGUAUACGAGUAGCUGUGCUCCCCUGCUAGAACCUCCAAAAAAGCUCAAGGUAUACACACACACACACACACACACACACACACACACACACAUAUUAUAUAAGGAUAGAAUAUCUUUAAUUAUUU
RNAcentral lists this small nuclear RNA (291 nucleotides) under Sorex araneus (European shrew). RNAcentral describes it as "7SK RNA (ENSSARG00000017722.1)". It matches the Rfam family "7SK RNA". From Rfam's summary of the family: 7SK was discovered as an abundant small nuclear RNA in the mid-70s but a possible function has only recently been suggested. Two independent studies have found that 7SK RNA binds the CDK9/cyclin T complex (known as elongation factor P-TEFb). Lineage: Eukaryota; Metazoa; Chordata; Mammalia; Eulipotyphla; Soricidae. The record is from RNAcentral.